Long non-coding RNA from Mauremys reevesii (Reeves's turtle), 169 nucleotides. RefSeq lists it as uncharacterized. NCBI's taxonomy places the organism in Eukaryota, Metazoa, Chordata, Testudines, Geoemydidae. The transcript is spliced from 3 exons. The record is from RefSeq and is a predicted model, not a curated record.
CACCAAUCCUAUGGUGGCAUUAAAGGCACCGGCUCAGCAAGAGCCCCUCUACGCCUCCAUCGACGAAGGGAAAGAGACGCAGACCCCGCCCCAGGAGCCAGACCCCGAUGCAGACGGACUCACCUACGCCGACCUGGACAGCCGGGCGCUGCAGGGCAAAUGGAGAGGC